Orbicella faveolata is the source of this 907-nucleotide long non-coding RNA. NCBI's taxonomy places the organism in Eukaryota, Metazoa, Cnidaria, Anthozoa, Scleractinia, Merulinidae. The record is from RefSeq and is a predicted model, not a curated record.
UACAUGCCUGUUCCUGCCAGUCAAUAUAUGAACAGUUUACAUAUGGGCAGCCUGUACUGAAACAUCAAAGAUUUUCAAAGCAACCAUGGCCUGACAACUUGAUGGGAUUAUAAUUUCUGCACCAAGUUCAUUGAAUAAACUAACUUGGAAGUUGAGUUCUGCAACCCAUCCUGUGUGUAGUAAUAUCAUAGCUGCAACAUUGUGACAGAUACACUGUAUUACAUUAUCAAGAAACACAUAUAUUAACUAAUUAUUUAAAGUGCCUGUUAAAUAAUCAGUUUUUCUUAGAGAUAAUUUACUCAUGGUUUAUUUAAAUAAUUGCUUUUUUGGCUUUAAAAUGAUAUUUAUUGUGCUUUUCAAUCAAUUUUGUGAUAAUCUGCAUUGGACAUGGCAUAAAUUAAUAUGUUGCCAACACGAAAUGGAGAACUGGGUCUUAAGCAAAGUUGCAGGAUUAAUAUUUUUGUAGAAAGAAAGGGUUGAGAAAUUUGAGGCAUUCUGCAGACAGCCUUGCCAUUCCCAAUGUCCAACAAGGUUAAUUUGUUCCCUACUGUUGUACAAAUAGUGUUCUCUAAUUUAUAAAUUAUUUCAAUCUUUUGUUUAAAUGAUUGCCUUAUAACCCCAUGUCCGGCUUUGGUGCGUAUAGGAUAUUGAUGUAUUGUUUAUCCAUUUUGCUGUAAAUUAUCUUAAUUGACGUGUCAAUCAAAACAUAUCUUGGAUAUGCUGGGCUCUUCUGACAAAUGUACCUAUGCCUGAUAACCUUUGAGUGCAUUUGGUUGUGUAGUGCAGACGAAAUACAUGUACAUAAUAGAACUUACUCUUAGCUUACUUAUAAGUCUUGGUAUAAUUUAAUCAUAGCAAAAUUAAUUAAUGGAACCUAAUAACAGCUCCUGUAGUCCACAAUCUCAGU